RNAcentral lists this ribosomal RNA (253 nucleotides) under uncultured bacterium. RNAcentral describes it as "partial 16S ribosomal RNA". It matches the Rfam family "Bacterial small subunit ribosomal RNA", at positions 524 to 776 of the family's 1533-position model. The record is from RNAcentral.
UACGGGGGGGGCAAGCGUUGUUCGGAAUUACUGGGCGUAAAGGGCGCGUAGGCGGCCUUCUAAGUCGAACGUGAAAUCCCCGGGCUCAACCCGGGAACUGCGUCCGAUACUGGGAGGCUUGAAUCCGGGAGAGGGAUGUGGAAUUCCAGGUGUAGCGGUGAAAUGCGUAGAUAUCUGGAGGAAUACCGGUGGCGAAGGCGGCAUCCUGGACCGGUAUUGACGCUGAGGCGCGAAAGCCAGGGGAGCAAACGGG